This 305-nucleotide ribosomal RNA is filed under the name uncultured bacterium. RNAcentral describes it as "bacterial SSU rRNA". It matches the Rfam family "Bacterial small subunit ribosomal RNA", at positions 333 to 636 of the family's 1533-position model. The record is from RNAcentral.
UUGGUCCUACGGGGCGCAGCAGUGAGGAAUAUUGGUCAAUGGGCGAGAGCCUGAACCAGCCACGUCGCGUGAGGGAGUACUGCCCUAUGGGUUGUAAACCUCUUUUGUCGGGGAGCAAAGAGAGUCACGUGUGGCUCAUUGAGAGUACCCGAAGAAAAAGCAUCGGCUAACUCCAUGCCAGCAGCCGCGGUAAUACGGAGGAUGCGAGCGUUAUCCGGAUUUAUUGGGUUUAAAGGGUGCGCAGGCGGAGGUGCAAGUCAGUGGUCAAAUUGCGGGGCUCAACCCCGUACUGCCGUUGAAACUGC